RNAcentral lists this ribosomal RNA (254 nucleotides) under uncultured bacterium. RNAcentral describes it as "partial 16S ribosomal RNA". It matches the Rfam family "Bacterial small subunit ribosomal RNA", at positions 524 to 776 of the family's 1533-position model. The record is from RNAcentral.
UACGUAGGGGGCAAGCGUUGUCCGGAUUUAUUGGGCGUAAAGAGCUCGUAGGUGGUUCGGUAAGUCGGAUGUGAAAUCUCCAGGCUCAACCUGGAGGGGUCAUUCGAUACUGCCGUGACUAGAGGUCGGUAGGGGAGUGUGGAAUUCCUGGUGGAGCGGUGAAAUGCGCAGAUAUCAGGAAGAACACCCGUGGCGAAAGCGGCUCUCUGGAACGGUACUGACGCUGAGACGCGAAAGCGUGGGGAGCGAACAGG